This 2183-nucleotide unclassified non-coding RNA is filed under the name Leishmania donovani. Its description in RNAcentral is "gene:LdHU3.07.1460(CDS-product:RNA-editing_comple x_protein_putative)". The record is from RNAcentral. Lineage: Eukaryota; Euglenozoa; Kinetoplastea; Trypanosomatida; Trypanosomatidae.
CUUGUAUCGUUGCGGCAACGAGUGCCGUACAAGGGGGGCCCCAUCUCCCACACACACACACACACACGCACACACGCACAUUCACACUCACACAGAGUCAACUCCUCCCCCUACGCUUUUUCCGAGCUCUGCGCUCAUGCGACGGAUUGGUGUGGCAACCUGUCAGCGACGGUGGCUUGCCUCAGCAACGCUUCCGCGCGCCGGGAAAUGCGGAACACCAUGGUCAGGGCAUAGCUUCAUUCUCGAUACCGCGGCGUCUCUCACAACCGCGAUCCGCGAAGUGCGCUCUACGGCGGUCUGCUGCGCCCCGAAGGAUGCGCAGUAUCAGUGUGGCGAGUGCGGCAAAACGUUCCGCCUCGUCAACGCCCUCAAUCACCACAUCAUGACCCGCCACGGCAACAACGCCAAGGCGCUCAUGAAGAAGGACGGCAGGCUAGUCCCUGUGGAGACGGACCAGCUCAAGGGUGGGGCGCAUUGUGGGGCCCCCUCCUCGUCCACAGCGACGACGAGCUCGGCAACUCCGGCCGGGGCUGCCGCCGCGGCGUCGUCGUCUCCACUGUCCGGCGGCGCCACCUCACCGUUUCCGGUGCACUUUGCCGCCCCUUUCGGCGGCGCCGCCGCAUCCAUGGGCGGGGUGGCGUCGUCUUCCACUCCACCAGGCACCGCUCCAGGGGUGCUGCAGGCCUCCGCCACACCCGUCACCGCCGCGGCUGGCGCAACCACUGCAAGCAAUGGCGAGAACGGAAGCGGCGCCGACGGGGCCGCUGAGGAGAGGGAGAAGCGCAUGUUCGUCUGCACAGUGUGCCAGAAGACGUUUCGACUUGAGGCGGCGCUACAGCACCACUAUCAGGCGAAGCACAACAUGGACAUGCCAACCUCCGCUUCGUCUCUGUCUGCUCUCGUCGGCGCGAGCACGACACCAGGGGCUGGCGGUGCCUCCGUGUCCACUCCAGGAGAGCCUAGCGCCAAUGGUGGUGGCAGUGCUGGCGCGUCUGGUGGCGUGCCUGACGUAGCUGCAGACGGUACCGCAUUUCCUGCAAACGCUUCUAGCUUCGGUGCUGCGCAGUACGUUCGACAGCAGGAGGGAGCGCUGCCUGACGCUCCGCAGUACCACCUCGAUGUGGCCCCGAACGCCCCGGAGGAGGGCGACAUUGCCGCGCACUGGCGUUGCGUGAACAUAUGUGUGCUGAUGGGCGACGUGCAGGAGGUGGAGGAGGGGUACGUAUUUGAGGAUCAUGUGCUGCAGUUCACCGUGGCGACCGAGUUUGCUACCCCGGCCCCUGGAGAUCCUGACAUGGACUUCCACACGGUGCGCGUGUACGGGCACGAGUUUUGGGCCCCACUGAAGGCGGACAUGCAGAGUGGCGGCCGCUUUCUCGUCACGGGACGACUGUGUAUGGUGCCGCAGUUUGAUACGCAGCUGAAGAAGUACUAUCACUAUCCAGUGAUUCAGGUCUUUCCCGGAUCUGGUAACGUGGUGCGCGUUUGACCCGAUUUCGUUUUAGUACGCCAGUACACGCCAGCUGUAGUGGUGGUGGACGAUGAGGAGUGUGCAGGGAAGCGGAUCCCGCAGGCUCGCGUCGUCGUCUGUUUUCGCAGCGAAGGGUACAUGCGUGCGCUGCAGGACGGUGCACCAGCGCCGAUGUAGUCAACUGCGUUCUCUUUACCGUUGGCUUGGCCGCCGGGGCGGUGCCCAUCGAAAUUGACAUGCACUACGUGCCUGAGGGGCUUUUGCUUCUUGUGUGCAGGGAGGAAGGGGGAUGCGAUGAUGUUGUGGACUUGGCGAAAAGGGGCGACGCUGGGGCGUGCUUGGAAGGGGCAGGGGAUGCGGAGGGGAUGGGCUCCAUUUCGGGGACAGGCUGAGAGGUGUGAAGAGGUGUCCCUGCGCGUGCAACUGUGGGGGCGAACAGGAUCGUACGAGAGGGCGUGUCUCCGCGGCGAAGGAGAACGUCCUCGCGCAUGCGCAUGAGUGACGGUGCGUGCUGUGGAGCGUUUCGUUGUUGCUGCCUCUUCUGGCACUCUUCCCCCCUCUGGCAGCUCUCCUGUAUUCGACUGAGACGCAUCUGUGCUUUCUGGCGCACGCGCGCAUCAUCUCUCUGGCUGCUUCGCGUCACUUCCCCUCUCCUCUCUGACCAUCUAAGUAAGGUACGGCGAGACAACAAACAAAGGCGAUGCCGAGCUGC